Molecule: ribosomal RNA, 762 nt
Filed under: uncultured Glomeromycotina
Lineage: Eukaryota; Fungi; Glomeromycota
Description: bacterial SSU rRNA
Rfam family: Eukaryotic small subunit ribosomal RNA (bases 1-309)
Source: RNAcentral
UCCCUUAUCGGAAGAUAUGGGUAAUCUUUUGAAACUUCAUCGUGCUGGGGAUAGAGCAUUGCAAUUAUUGCUCUUGAACGAGGAAUCCCUAGUAAGCACAAGUCAUUAGCUUGUGCUGAUUACGUCCCUGCCCUUUGUACACACCGCCCGUCGCUACUACCGAUUGAAUGGCUUAGUGAGGCCCUCGAAUUGAGGUUCGGAGACUGGCAACAGUUUCUGUUCUUUGAGAAGUUGGUCAAACUUGGUCAUUUAGAGGGAAGUAAAAGUCGUAACAAGGUUUCCGUAGGUGAACCUGCGGAAGGAUCAUUACCAAUUUUAGCGAGCCUGGCAUUACGUCCAUGGCCUCGUGAAAUUAUUGUAUUUAAAACCCACACUUCUAUAAUAAAAUAACAUGUAUCAUGAUAAAAAUUUAAAGAUCACUUUCAACAACGGAUCUCUUGGCUCUCGCAUCGAUGAAGAACGUAGCGAAGUGCGAUAAGUAGUGUGAAUUGCAGAAUUCCGUGAAUCAUCGAAUCUUUGAACGCAAAUUGCACUCCCUGGUAUUCCGGGGAGUAUGCCUGUUUGAGGAUCAGUUUAAAUAAAAAUCGGUGUGUUGCUUUUUGUAACGCCUCGGAUUUGGGUUAUCUUAGCCUUUGGGUUAAGAGACCUAAAAUUGACUUUUUUUGUGCAUUUUUAUAGACGUACAUAAGAUAUUUUUUUAUUCGUCUUGGAAUGCCAAAUUUAUUAGGUAUGAUUCAUGGUGUGUGAUUUCGUACGUAUAGG